RNAcentral lists this ribosomal RNA (253 nucleotides) under uncultured bacterium. RNAcentral describes it as "partial 16S ribosomal RNA". It matches the Rfam family "Bacterial small subunit ribosomal RNA", at positions 524 to 776 of the family's 1533-position model. The record is from RNAcentral.
UACGAAGGGGGCUAGCGUUGUUCGGAAUCACUGGGCGUAAGGCGCAUGCAGGCGGAUUGUUAAGUCGGGGGUGAAAUCCCGAGGCUCAACCUCGGAACUGCCUUCGAUACUGGCAAUCUUGAGUCCGGGAGAGGUGAGUGGAACUGCGAGUGUAGAGGUGAAAUUCGUAGAUAUUCGCAAGAACACCAGUGGCGAAGGCGGCUCACUGGCCCGGUACUGACGCUGAGGUGCGAAAGCGUGGGGAGCAAACAGG